This is a long non-coding RNA of Numida meleagris (helmeted guineafowl), 5363 nucleotides long. RefSeq lists it as uncharacterized. Lineage: Eukaryota; Metazoa; Chordata; Aves; Galliformes; Numididae. The record is from RefSeq and is a predicted model, not a curated record. The transcript is spliced from 3 exons.
GCAACCUGUGCUGGUGCCUCACCACCCUUACUGCAAAAAACUUUCCUCUUAUAUCCAGUCUAAAUCUCCUCUCUUUUAGUUUGAAACCAUUUCCUCUUGUGCUCCUGCUCUGCUGGAUCCCUUUCCCCCUGAAUUAAAAGGAUUACAGCUUCAUCUCAGCAAUCAAUAAACAGGUCUUAAACGCAGCAGAGUGAGUUACGCUCUUACAGCAGAACAGUAUCUGUUUACCAAUAAAUGCCUGAGGUUUAUCUAUCACCGAGCUGGUUUUGCAUGCUGCAUAGGCAUGAUUCACCAUGUGUUUGGAGGGUAUGUAACUGCAGCUGACGUGCUGGUGACGUCUGCUGCACCAACGUCACUGCGAGCUCAGAGCACAUCUCCCCACACACGCUGCAGCGGAGCAGAUGCGUGCACAGAGGACAGGGACAGCAGUCAAACACAAGGAGGGGCUGGCUACACCUGUAAGUGGUUUGUCAUCCUUGGCAAAUAUUUGCUCAUUGGCAAAGCAGGUACCUUGCCAGACCUCAUCUCUUCCAAGGGGAGAAAACAACACACUUGGAAAAAAAGAGCUUACGUAAUGUCUGCCGUGAGUAUGCAGAGAAUGCGUAUGUCCUGUUGCCCAUCUGCAUGCACCAGAACUCAUAUCUGGGGGAUGGCAAGUGGGCUUUAGGACACUUGACUUCUCUGCAUUUGAAAGAGAAUGAGCAGCUCAGGCCCUUCCACCAGGAGUUAGCUCAUCUCCCAGAACUCUGCCAUCCUCCCCACAGUAAGAAGGCUGGAAGGAUGAGAUAAUGCUAGAAGUUGUUUAGAAGAUGACAUUACAUGACCAUUAAGUAUUGAUACCAUUCAAGUUACCAAGUUUUGGCAAUACCCUUUGAAUGCCAUGCAUACAGCAGUGCCUACAACACUGUACUGUUCUUACCCACUGAGGCUGAACGAAACUUCUCAUGUAGACUGGCUUAGCUGACGCACUGUAAUAUAGUUAAUAAACUUUACUGGAGAGUGGGAUUUAUGCAGUAUGAGAGGGUCUCGGUGUCCUUGAUUUGCAGCCAUCUGUCUGAUAGGAAAGUGCCCUUGUGUAACUGAAGCCAGACCAGCAGGUAGGGCAGGUACUAGUUGAGUUAGCACAUGGAUAACUUCAUUUUUCUCAACAAUGAUGGCGUCACCAUUCUUGGUCACCAUCAACACUAUCAGAAACAUUUACAGUAAGAGCAGAUUUUUGCCUACCUGUUCCAGGAAUAUAAUUACAAGAGCAAAGAAAAGACCUACAAGACGUAAGAAGAAAAGCCAUGCCAAAAUGAGGAGACUGCCUUGUCCAGUGAGAGGUGAUGAUGGUCACAACAGAACACAAUGAUCAUGCUGCAGUCUGCAACAGAGCUAGCGCUGCUGAAAGCAAUUCGAGUUCCAUGUUCUACUGAUUGCCACAGCUACGCCUGAGCUUCUGCACACCUAAGAUACAGGAAUCAGGAAGAAGAGCAUGACUGAGGGUUCUUUAAAAUUUCCAGUAUUGGAGACUCCUGAAAAUUCCAAGCAAUCCUUUCCAGAGCGUCCUGCCCUCCUGUUUGAUACUUGAGAACAAAGGGGAGAACAAUGCUGAAAGACCAUUUUGCACAUCUUGCCCAGAUGGAUACACCUUCUGGCAUGUGGGACCACGCCGUCUGUCUUGCUGGUUUUGAGGUGCAGAUUCACUUUAUUUUGUUUGUGUUUUUGUUUCUUUUGGUGGGUGCAGGGGCAGCAAAUGGUGUCUGUCCAUUACAGCUGUCUUUGCUGAGCAUGCUAGGAUCUAGCACAGUUCAAAGAAAGCUUGUGUAUUACCACAUGUGAGUGGCUGAGUCAAACCCUCAAAAUUUGGAUGCAUGGUUCAGUAGUCUCUGGGUUAAUGCUUUCUUUUGAAAACUCAGUUUGGAGCAGAUCAGGCAGUUUCAGAGCAUGUGCAUGCAGCUCAAAUGAGGAUAACAAUCACCAAAUGAUCUGUGUGAAUCCCAAUUUGCAUGUGUCAAUUAUUCUCCUGGGCAAAAGUCACUCAGUGACUACUCAGUGGACUCGAGAGAUGGAAGAACAACCAAAGUGGAAACAGGCAGGACGUGCCAAGGGACUGCUUCAGCAUGUGCUCAUCUGGAAAUCAUAGAAUCGUUUGAGUUGGAAGGGACCAUUAAAGGCCAUCUAGCCCAACUCCCCUGCAAUGAACAUGGACACCUACAGCUCCAUCAGGUGCUCAGAGCCUACCUUGUUUUUCAAACCUCUGUUCCUCUGACAGUGGAAGCAAAACUCAGGAUCAAACUGAUGGAAGAUGCAAUUGGAAUACACACAAUUAGUGUAGGCCCUACAGAAUAGCAUCUGCAAGCUAAGGCUGUGCAGCCCGUUACCGAACAGUACACAAUGUGAGUGUUAUGUUAGCUGAAAAAAAUCCCAAAUCUAACAGGACUGAAUGCAUCUAAUGUCCUGCUCUUUCCCCAUCAGUGAGCAUUUCUUAGUGCCUUAUUUUUUUUUAUACUCAUCCACGGGCUGGAAAGCAAAAGGAGAAGAGGGCUGGGCUGUGGAGCAGGAGUUACAAAAAUGCACAGACUGCACCCUGGUAUUUCUAGAACUGUUGUCACUACAAUUAUCCAUGAGAGGUUUUAUCCUGAACUUGCAGAAGUGGAACUAAAGCCCGGGGAGGAGUAAAACCAGGCUUCGGGCAGUCAGGAGCAGAACUCUGAGUCUCCGGAGCCAGUUUUGCCCGGCUGUGAUCAGAGACAUUGCAUGGGGCUGAGAGGCUUGGGAGAAGGAUAAAAGAUGGGAAGUAGCUGCUCUGCACUGAGGAACUCACCCCAAGUCUUAUAGAGUGCUGCCAUUGCUGCAUCCAUCACAGCCAAGGAAAGCUGCAACGAAUGAGGAAUUCACAGAAUCAUAGAAUUGUUUGAGUUGCAAAGGACCCUUAAAGGCCAUCUGGUACAAUCCCCUGCAAUGACCAGGGACACCUACAGCUUGAUCAGGUGCUCAGAGCCCCUCCAGCCUGACCUUGAGUGUCUCCAAGGGCAGGGCAUCCACCACCUUUCUGGCCAACAUGUGCCAGUGCUUCACUACCCUUACUGUAAAAAACUUCUUCCUUAUAUCCAAUCUAAAUUAAUUAAGCAGCUGGGAUUGCAAAGGACACAACACAAGCAUGUUUUAACACGGGUGCUGACUGCAUGCAUGUAUCCGCUUUUCUGGAGAAAUGUAUGAAAUGUAUACAAAAGGCUCUCAUGCUACAAAACAUCAUCUCUCCUGGCUGAUCAUGGGUGGGCUGCCUGCAAGCGCAGCAGACAUGCUGCACACAACACGACUGGAGCCAGCCGUGGGUGGGCACUGCUCUGAGGUGCUGGGCAAGAGAAAACAUACACAUCAAGGCACUGCAUUGUAGUGCUUCCCACUUGCUUUUGAGUUUGUGGGAAAAACAACAUGUCUGGCCCACCAGGGCUGCCAGCUGUGCAGGGAGGGCUGCAAGGCAAGGGGCUGCUCUCAGCCGCAACUCUGAAGUAUUCCUGGGAAUGGGAUGGCCCCUUGCUCUCUGACUGGAAAAAUCAAAGCUCGCAGCUUGGGGCAGUGUGCUUAGUGAUGACAUCAGUAGAGAUGCAAAGGGAUAUUUUUUACCCCCUAGAGAAGGUGGAGAGGAGAAAUAAAGGCCAGAUCCUUAAAAAAAAAAAAAAAAGAAGAAGAAGAAGCAGAAGCAGCAGCAAAACCCCUCAAAUGUGAAUCUUUCUGCCCCCCUCACUCUCAGUUCCUAGCUGGCAUAGCUCGUUCUCUGCCAUGUGGGAGGAUUUAGCAUCUAUUGACAGAUGAGCUAAUCAGUUCCCCUCAGCUCUUGAAGCUUUAUCAAAGCCAGUUAAUCAUAUUACUGAUGUCUGCCCAUGCCAAGGCUCUCCUCUUCUGUCCUCCGACAACAAGGUGACACACGCACAUGCCACAUGCACAGAGAGAUCACUUUUUCCACUCCCAAUCACACCAACAAGAGGAUGUCAGCAGGGCUGCAGUGCCAGCACAUGGCGGCUGCCUGUCUCUCUUUCACCCUCCCUGGCCACUCCUUGUUGCUGUAGAUCUGUGGUAGCUCACGACAGAGCAGACCAAGCUCACGUCUUGUCAGCACAGGGAUGGCAGCAGUGGGAAGAACUGGUCUGGGUUUCGGCUGUGCUGUCCUGGAAGGAUGCUGACACCAAUCCGAACCCAGACCAGGGUGUGCUGCCCAUACCUCUCUCCCUGAGGCCUGGUUAGUGUUACUUCCCUAUUCCAAUUUCGUCAACUGCGAUACAAACUGUACUGCUCUUCCUGAGGGCUGACCUGGGGACUGUGCUCCUUUCCUCAGGAAUGGCUCUACUCACGCUAGCACUAAGCCACCAAGCCAAGAGUACUGCCCUGUCCUAUUUUUGUUUUCUUUUGGGAAACUCAUUCUGUAUUUAUGCCAAUAAUGGAAGAAACCAGGCACGAGGGACCCUCUGGAAUGCUCUUCCUGGCAAGAUCAUUUGAAUUCACGUCAUUCGUUGGCCUGUGCUUGGGUGGAAAUUGAUCAGGAGCGUGUUUGGAGAUGGCUGGCAUUCACUUGACUGUUUUGGUAACUACCACUGUUUCAUGGCCUGGCUGGUGAGUGCCCACAGGUAUUGCCAGCCAUCUCCCCCUGCCCAGGCUGCCCUGGAGACAGAGACCUUGCCCUGAACCCACCACCCUCCCACAGCUCCCUGUACAGCCAUGCACAUGGAAAGAGCGUGGUGCUGGCUGCAAGGUGCAAACAAGACCCUGCUGUGGUAAAACACAGGGCAGUCCCUGUAUCAGUUAUUCCAGAAAGGUAGGAGUUUCCUCCCCAGUGUUAAUCAAUACUUGCCAGCCUCCCCUAGACCUCCCUGCCCUCUUCUCGCUUUGAAGAGAGAUUUGUUUCUCUCUGGGCUUGCUGCAGGUUCCUCUGCCAGCCCAGCCAAGGAGAUUCUCCAGGGCUGCAGAGACUGGCAGAGAGCACUGUGUAAAAGGCAUUGAAAAAGCAAAGAAGGGGAAAAGCAGAGGAGGUUCAAUCCAGGAACAGAGCUCUCCACACCAUCUCCCGCUCCUCUCUGCAGGUGAGUGGGCGGUUGGCAACCCCGGCCAUGCGCCAUGAGAUACGUUCACCCACCUAUACAGACAAUGUCCAUGAAGCCAUACAUUCCAUAGCAGAUCUGGAAGAGCAGGUCCUGGCGCUGCCACUUGGCUGAAGGACUGAAGGUCGACCAGAUGAGCCACGAGAUACUGGCGAUGAGGAAGAGGGAACCCAGGAUGGCCGCUGCUAUCUGAACCUUCUCAAUGACUGUCAGGGAGAUGGCCUGCCACUGCAAGGGACAGCAACAGGGAGAGGAGGGGAGACAAGGGAAGGGAGGAGGGAAAAA